GGUGAAGCCAAGCUUGCUUGGUGGAUCAGUGGCGAACGGGUGAGUAACACGUGAGCAACCUGCCCUGGACUCUGGGAUAAGCGCUGGAAACGGCGUCUAAUACUGGAUAUGAGCNNCNAUCGCAUGGUGGGGGUUGGAAAGAUUUUUUGGUCUGGGAUGGGCUCGCGGCCUAUCAGCUUGUUGGUGAGGUAAUGGCUCACCAAGGCGUCGACGGGUAGCCGGCCUGAGAGGGUGACCGGCCACACUGGGACUGAGACACGGCCCAGACUCCUACGGGAGGCAGCAGUGGGGAAUAUUGCACAAUGGGCGGAAGCCUGAUGCAGCAACGCCGCGUGAGGGAUGACGGCCUUCGGGUUGUAAACCUCUUUUANCANGGAAGAAGCGAGAGUGACGGUACCUGCANAAAAAGCGCCGGCUAACUACGUGCCAGCAGCCGCGGUAAUACGUAGGGCGCAAGCGUUAUCCGGAAUUAUUGGGCGUAAAGAGCUCGUAGGCGGUUUGUCGCGUCUGCUGUGAAAUCCCGAGGCUCAACCUCGGGCCUGCAGUGGGUACGGGCAGACUANAGUGCGGUAGGGGAGAUUGGAAUUCCUGGUGUAGCGGUGGAAUGCGCANAUAUCAGGAGGAACACCGAUGGCGAAUGCAGAUCUCUGGGCCGUAACUGACGCUGANGAGCGAAA
Molecule: ribosomal RNA, 677 nt
Filed under: Microbacteriaceae bacterium 54
Lineage: Bacteria; Bacillati; Actinomycetota; Actinomycetes; Micrococcales; Microbacteriaceae
Description: bacterial SSU rRNA
Rfam family: Bacterial small subunit ribosomal RNA
Source: RNAcentral